CCUACGGGUGGCUGCAGUCGAGAAUUUUUCACAAUGGGCGCAAGCCUGAUGGAGCGACGCCGCGUGGGGGAUGAAUGGCUUCGGCCCGUAAACCCCUGUCAUUUGCGAUCAACCGUUAUUAUUUAAAAGAUGAUGACCUGAUAGUAGCGAAAGAGGAAGGGACGGCUAACUCUGUGCCAGCAGCCGCGGUAAUACAGAGGUCCCGAGCGUUGUUCGGAUUCGUUGGGCGUAAAGGGUGCGUGGGUGGCGUGAAAUCUCCGAGCUCAACUCGGAAACUGCAUUGGAAACUACUUUGCUCGAGGAUUGGAGGGGGGACUGGAAUACUUGGUGUAGCAGUGAAAUGCGUAGAUAUCAAGUGGAACACCAGUGGCGAAGGCGAGUCUCUGGACAAUUCCUGACACUGAGGCACGAAAGCGAGGGGAGCAAACAGGAUUAGAUACCCCUGUAGUC
This 450-nucleotide ribosomal RNA is filed under the name uncultured bacterium. Its description in RNAcentral is "partial 16S ribosomal RNA". It matches the Rfam family "Bacterial small subunit ribosomal RNA", at positions 338 to 795 of the family's 1533-position model. The record is from RNAcentral.